UCAGUAGAUGAUAGAUCGAUACACAGCAUUAGCCUUACACACCAUCACAAUGAUCGAACAAGACUGCAUUCCAAUUGGUACCAUAUUCCCUAUAUAGUGUACACUUUUGACUGGAGGGCCCUGGUCAAAAGUAGUACACUAUAUAGGGAAUGUGUAGCCAACAGUAGAACGUUUAUGAGAUGCAAUAGACAAGAAAAUAGGAAAAUGUAGAAAAAUAUUGUUAUAUAGUCUCACAAAGCAUUGUGUAGGCUAAAUCACAUCAGUCCCCAGUACCAGCCUCUGGGUUGGAAUGGGCCAUCACGUGAUGUUUACUGAUUUAUGCAUAAAGAUUCCAUUUACAGAAUCAUUGGUUAUUGAAACAUGGAGAAGCAUCAAAAUCUGUGUCUUGGACAUGAACAUCUCCUUCGAUCAAAGUGAAAUUGAAAAGACGGAUGAUAAGCACUUCCAUUCAUUCACCUGGCUGACACUUUUACAUGCACUGCAUCAUAACCAAUAAUGGAAGCCUUUACAGGUGAAUCGUAGCCAAUAAUGGAAGCCUUUACAAGGUGAAUCGUAGACAAUAAUGGAAGCCUUUACAAGGUGAAUCGUAGCCAAUAAUGGAAGCCUUUACAAGGUGAAUCGUAGACAAUAAUGGAAGCCUUUACAGGUGAAUCGUAGACAAUAAUGGAAGCCUUUACAAGGUGAAUCGUAGUUCAAUUCAAUCCCCUAUGAAAAAUAUUUCAGUCACUGUCAGCAUAUACAGUGGCAAGAAACAGCAUGUGACCCCUUUGGAAAUACCUGGAUUUCUGCAUAAAUUGGUCAUGCAUUUUGAGCUGAUCUUCAUCUAGGUCACAACAAUAGACAAACACAGUUUGCUUUACUAAUAACACCCAAACAAUGUAUAUGUUUUCAUGUCUUUAUUGAACACCGUGUAAACAUUCACCUUCCAGGGUAGAAAAAGUAUGUGAACCCUUGGAUUUAAUAACUGGUUGACUCUCCUUUGGCAGCAAUAACCUCAACCAAAUGUUUUCUGUAGUUGCGGAUCAGACCUGCACACCCGUCAGGAGGAAUUUUGGACCAUUCCUCUUUACAAAACUGUUUCAGUUCAGCAAUAUUCUUGGGAUGUCUGGUGUGAACGGCUCUCGAGGUCAUUCCACAGCAUCUCAAUCAGGUUGAGGUCAUUCUGUUGUUGAUUUACUUGUCUUUUUGGGUUGUUGUCCUGUUGCAUCACCCAACUUCUGUUGCGCUUCAAUUGGCGAACAUAUAGCCUCACAUUCUCCUGCAAAAUGUCUUGAUAAACUUGAAUGAUUUUUUCCAUAUGAUAGCAUGCUGUCUAGGCCCUGAGGCAGCCCCAAAUCAUGAUGCUCCCUCCACCAGACUUUACAGUUGGGAUGAGGUUAUGAUGUUGGUGUGCUGUGCCUUUUUUCCCUCUCCACCACAUAGUGUUGUGUGUUCCUUCCUUCCAAACAACUCAACUGUAGCUUCAUCUGUCCACACAAUAUUUUGCCAGUAGCGCUGUGGAACAUCCAGGUGCACGUUUGAAAACUUCAGACGUGCAGCAAUGCUUUUUUUGGACAGCAGUGGCUUCUUCCAUGGUGUCCUCCCUUGAACAUCAUUCUUAUUUUACGUAUCGUAGGCUCGUCAACAGAGAUGUUAGCAUGUUCCAGAGAAUUCUGUAAGUCUUUAGCUGACACUAGGAUUGUUCUUAACCUCAUUGAGCAUUCUGCACUGUGCUCUUGCAGUCAUCUUUGCAGGACGGUCACUCCUAGGGAGAGUAGCAACAGUGCUGAACUUUCUCCAUUUAUAGACAAUUUGUCUUACUUAUUUUACAGAUACUUUUGUAAGCCUUUCAAGCUUUAUGCAAGUCAACAAUUCUUCAUCUUAGGUCUUCUGAGAUCUUUUGUUCGAGGCAUCGUUUACAUCAAGCAAUGCUUCUUGUGAAUAGGAAACUCAAAUUUUGUAAGUGUUUUUUAUAGGGCAAGGCAGCUCUAACCAACCUCUCCAAUCUCGUCUCAUUCAUUGGACUCCAGGUUAGCUGACUCAUGACUCCAAUUAGCUUUUGGAGAAGUCAUUAGCCUUUGGGUUCACAUACUUUUCCCAACCUACACAGUUUAAAUUAUUGAUUUAAUAUAGACAAGAGAAAUACAAUUUGUAUUAUUUUAAGCACACUAUGUCUGUCUAUUGAUGACUUAGAUGAAGAUCAGAUCAAAUUUGAUGACCAAUUUAUGCAGAAAUCCAGGUAAUUCCAAAGGGUUCACAUACUUUUUUCUUGCCACUUGAAACAGUGAUUUCCAGUUAUACUAUUCUUGGUACUAUAUUGCUAUGCCAACAUUAGGAAGAGGACAAUACUGUAAAAUAUUACAAGACAUGAACAUUUAGAUAAA
Molecule: long non-coding RNA, 2363 nt
Organism: Oncorhynchus keta (chum salmon)
Lineage: Eukaryota; Metazoa; Chordata; Actinopteri; Salmoniformes; Salmonidae
Exons: 3
Source: RefSeq, a predicted model, not a curated record